CCUACGGGUGGCAGCAGUGGGGAAUAUUGCACAAUGGGGGAAACCCUGAUGCAGCGAAGCCGCGUGAGUGAAGAAGUAUUUCGGUAUGUAAAGCUCUAUCAGCAGGGAAGAAGCAAGACGGUCCCUGACUAAGAAGCCCCGGCCAACUACGUGCCAGCAGCCGAGGUCAUCCGCGGGGGGCAAGGGUUUUCCGGAUUUACUGGGUGUAACGGGAGCGUAGACGGUAUUGAAAGUCGGAAGUGAAAGUCCGGGGCGUAACCCAGGGACUGCGUUGCAAACGGUUGGACUCGGUUGCUGGAAAGGGAGGUGAAAGUGCGGGUGAGGCGGUAAAAUGCGUAGAUAUUAGGAGGAACACCAGUGGCAAGGGCGGCUUACGGGACAGUAACGGACGUUGGGGCUGAAAGGCGUGGGGAGCAAACGGAAU
Molecule: ribosomal RNA, 424 nt
Filed under: uncultured bacterium
Lineage: Bacteria
Description: partial 16S ribosomal RNA
Rfam family: Bacterial small subunit ribosomal RNA
Source: RNAcentral